RNAcentral lists this long non-coding RNA (2333 nucleotides) under Agrilus planipennis (emerald ash borer). Its description in RNAcentral is "uncharacterized LOC108732983, transcript variant X2". The record is from RNAcentral. Lineage: Eukaryota; Metazoa; Arthropoda; Insecta; Coleoptera; Buprestidae.
UCUACCCCCUAUAAAAAUUAAUGCUCUUGUCAUCUUUCAAAGUAUAUACAUAAUUCUAAAUAAACAAAUAAUUUAUUUUAUUUGUUAAAUAAGUUAAAGUAUGUAACACGUUUUUAUUUUUUAAUUACAUAACAUUUUGGAAUGUUAAAGUUUAUUGUUCCGCUUUUUAUUGUAAAAGGGCUUUGCUUUUAGGGAUAUUAUUAUAACUUAAAAAAAAAAACAAUAAAUUUGUUGCAUAAACUUCAGUUUCAUUUAGUGUGUGAAACAUUUUUAACUAUGUAUGAUUUAAUAUUUAUUAACUUAUUAAAUGUAUUAGCUGAAUAGCAAAAUGAAUUAAAAUCGCUAAAGUAUGCCUAUUUAUUUAACUUGGGAGUAUUUUGAAAAAAUAGGAAAGGCGUUGAACAUGUAUUUUUGAUUAACACAGAAAAGUUUGGCAACAAGAAUUUUCAAAAAUAAUUAUGUAGUUCAGAAUUAAAUAGUAUAAGCAUGUACUUAUUUUCUAUCAGGUAAACAUUCUUAACAAGUAUUGAAAGUAUAUUUUGGUAUAGAAUAGCGUAUAUAUUAAGCGUGUAUAUAUUUUCUUUUACGUAAACAUUGAACUAAUUUUUAGCAAGAAUUGAAAAUGCCUGUUCGUUUACUGCUUAGCAAAUUAUACGUAUGUGCUACACAACAUUUCACAUGCAUAAGUAAUUUUAAGUUAAACACAGUGAAGUGCAUAGUCCGAUGGGUAAUCAACUGUAAUUUAUUAGUUUAUCGGCGGUUGUAGUCUAGGUACUUCCAUAAUUUAAUAAUAAUCAUAGAAUGGUGUAUAGUGUAUCUAUGGCCCUCUUCUAUAAAUAUCUAUGUAAGAAAUUGUAAGGAUUCUAGUAUCUAUGGUCUAUGUCCUGUAAUAUCUAUGCCUAUGUCUCUGGCAUAAAUGAAACUGACGUUUGUUGCCAUUUUUUGUUAUUUGUAUUCCUUUAAUGUAUUUGUUACGAGAAGAAUUCCAUCUACCUAUUUUUAUUCCAUUUCGUAUCUUUUUUUAUAUAGUGAUAUUUUAAAUUUUAAUCAUUGCAGCUACUUUUAAUUCCGGUAACUGAAGAUACAUUACUUAUUUAAGUUGUAAAUUUGUUCUCUAGUUCAGUUGUAACAGAAACUGGUGUAGCUUUCGGUAUUCCUUACUUUUUGCAAUUUUGUUAUUACACUAUAUUGUUAUGGUACUAAAUUGUUUAUAUGUGAAUAUUGUACUAGUCCUCUUUCCAAGAGGAUAUUUAUACUGGAAAUAGACAAACAGGUAUGCCAAAGUUUAACGCAAUGAAUGCCACCCUCAUAAGGCCGUAAAAGGAAAAAACAACAUUAAUUAGAGAUAAUUACAACCCUAUCGAAAAAGUACAAGUUUUUGGAUGAGCAUUCUACUAUACUAAGCAAUAUUCCUUUUGUUUCAACAUUUUAAACAAUUUGCCUAAUCAGCAAAUUCUUUACAACCUAAGAGCAUUUUUGCCAGCAGUUCAGACUUAUGAAGAAAGUACUUUAAGCUAUUUGCUUAUGGAGUUUCCUGUCAGUGUUUUGGGUUGUCACCUGUGGAAUUAUACAGUAUUCAAAAUCAUCUUUCCAAUACACCGAUACAACAUUGAAAAGGCUUGCUUAGAGAUGACAUCAUUGGAUUAUAAGGAGGAACUACCUGGACUUGUUUUUAUUUCUAAAAAUGCUUCUGAUGUGUUGGUCGAAAAAUUCACAAGGCACGGUUGUUAACAAUGGUUUCCAUCAAAAUAUAAUAAAUGAACGUGGAGAGAGUAAAUCGAAAGGAGUGGAAACGUGAAGAAGCAGAACGCCACUCGCAUUUCUUUCUCUUAGACUUGGAAUGGGAUCUUUUGUGGAAAGGGUUAUCAUUUAAACUUGUUAAAUGAACAAGAAAACAAAAAAUAAGGAUUCAAAAUGUGGAGUUGUGGAGCCCUGUUAAUGUUCCGUCCUCUUAGACUUGGAAAGUGCAAUUUUUGGAGAACGAAGUCCAAUUCACAUAGAUAUAUUUAGGAAUAAAACUUGAGCACCGUAGAGUUAUCCUUGAGAUCGUCCAAAUGGUGAGAAAGAGAAUUUCAGAUUGAUGGUAUUGAAACAACCAAUGUCUUGUCUUGAUUUGCUGUUUUCGUCUUCACCUCGCAACAUUAUGCAGCUAAUUUUCAACAGAUAAGUGAGAACAAGAGGAGAUUUACUUGAAUUCCACUAAUAGAACAAGUUUUCUUCUUUGGCAUUCCUCCUGGACUUGGUUUGCUUUUCAUAUCUGCAAACGUUGGAACGUUACAGUCUAUAAUUAAUUAAGGUGAGAAUACUUGAUAUAAUUAAUUUUAAUUGCUCUU